CUCCCUCCGCGCCAUCAGAUAUACGCGAGACACUGACGACAUGGUUCUACAGAAACCAGGAUUAGAUACCUAUUAUAUUUAAUCUUAAACACAAAAGAAUUGAUUACUAAAAAAUAAUUUUUUAUUAAACUCAAAGAAUUUGGCGGUAUUUUAAUCUAAUUAGAGGAACUUGUUUUAUAAUCGAUAACCCCGUUAAAUCUCUCUUAUUUUAAAUAGCCUGUAUACCGUCAUUAUUAAAUAAUUUUUAUUGAAUAAAUUAUUGUAAAUAAAUUAUUUUAAAUAUAUUAGAUCAAGGUGCAGUUAAUAAAUAAGAAAAAUGAGUUACAAUAAUAAUUUAUUUAAACGAAUUAUGUUUUUAAAAAAUAUAUAAAGGAGGAUUUAAUUGUAAAUAAAAUAAAAAAUUGAUAUUAGCUAUAAAAUAU
Molecule: ribosomal RNA, 422 nt
Filed under: Munidopsis spinifer
Lineage: Eukaryota; Metazoa; Arthropoda; Malacostraca; Decapoda; Munidopsidae
Description: partial 12S ribosomal RNA
Source: RNAcentral